Molecule: ribosomal RNA, 253 nt
Filed under: uncultured bacterium
Lineage: Bacteria
Description: partial 16S ribosomal RNA
Rfam family: Bacterial small subunit ribosomal RNA
Source: RNAcentral
UACGUAGGGUGCGAGCGUUGUCCGGAAUUAUUGGGCGUAAAGAGCUUGUAGGCGGUCUGUCGCGUCUGCUGUGAAAAUCCGGGGCUCAACCCCGGACUUGCAGUGGGUACGGGCAGACUAGAGUGUGGUAGGGGAGAUUGGAAUUCCUGGUGUAGCGGUGGAAUGCGCAGAUAUCAGGAGGAACACCGAUGGCGAAGGCAGAUCUCUGGGCCGUAACUGACGCUGAGGAGCGAAAGCGUGGGGAGCGAACAGG